AAUCGCUAGUAAUCGCAGAUCAGCAAAGCUGCGGUGAAUACGUUCCCGGGCCUUGUACACACCGCCCGUCACACCACGGGAGUCGGUCGCGCCUGAAGCCGGUGGCCUAUCAGUAAUGGGGGGAGCCGUCUAUGGCGAGAUUGGUAACUGGGGUGAAGUCGUAACAAGGUAUC
This 173-nucleotide ribosomal RNA is filed under the name uncultured bacterium. RNAcentral's name for it is "partial 16S ribosomal RNA". It matches the Rfam family "Bacterial small subunit ribosomal RNA", at positions 1330 to 1500 of the family's 1533-position model. The record is from RNAcentral.